CAGUCGCCACGGGAAUACGAAGGGGGCUAGCGUUGUUCGGAUUUACUGGGCGUAAAGGGCGCGUAGGCGGACUUCUCAGUCAGGGGUGAAAUCCCAAGGCUCAACCUUGGAACUGCCUUUGAUACUGGAAGUCUUGAGUUCGAGAGAGGUAAGUGGAACUGCGAGUGUAGAGGUGAAAUUCGUAGAUAUUCGCAAGAACACCAGUGGCGAAGGCGGCUUACUGGCUCGAUACUGACGCUGAGGCGCGAAAGCGUGGGGAGCAAACAGGAUUAGAUACCCGCGUAGUCCCUGUCUCUUAUAC
This 301-nucleotide ribosomal RNA is filed under the name uncultured bacterium. RNAcentral describes it as "partial 16S ribosomal RNA". It matches the Rfam family "Bacterial small subunit ribosomal RNA", at positions 509 to 807 of the family's 1533-position model. The record is from RNAcentral.